AAAGCCUCUAGCUAGAAUAACGGUGCCCGUACCGCAAACCGACACAGGUAGUCAAGAUGAGAAUUCUAAGGUGAGCGAGCGAACUCUCGUUAAGGAACUCGGCAAAAUGACCCCGUAACUUCGGGAGAAGGGGUGCUCUUUGAGGUUCACGCUUCGAAGAGCCGCAGUGAAUAGGCCCAAGCGACUGUUUAUCAAAAACACAGGUCUCUGCUAAACCGUAAGGUGACGUAUAGGGGCUGACGCCUGCCCGGUGCUGGAAGGUUAAGAGGAGUGGUUAGCGCAAGCGAAGCUACGAAUCGAAGCCCCAGUAAACGGCGGCCGUAACUAUAACGGUCCUAAGGUAGCGAAAUUCCUUGUCGGGUAAGUUCCGACCCGCACGAAAGGCGUAACGAUUUGGGCACUGUCUCAACGAGAGACUCGGUGAAAUCAUAGUACCGGUGAAGAUGCCGGUUACCCGCGACAGGACGGAAAGACCCCGUGGAGCUUUACUGUAGCCUGAUAUUGAAAUUCGGUACAGUUUGUACAGGAUAGGUAGGAGCCUUAGAAGCGUGAGCGCUAGCUUACGUGGAGGCAUUGGUGGGAUACUACCCUAAUUGUAUUGGAUUUCUAACCCGCAGCACUUAUCGUGCUGGGAGACAGUGUCAGGCGGGCAGUUUGACUGGGGCGGUCGCCUCCUAAAGAGUAACGGAGGCGCUCAAAGGUUCCCUCAGAAUGGUUGGAAAUCAUUCAUAGAGUGUAA
This 739-nucleotide ribosomal RNA is filed under the name Staphylococcus pseudintermedius. Its description in RNAcentral is "partial 23S ribosomal RNA". It matches the Rfam family "Bacterial large subunit ribosomal RNA", at positions 1614 to 2354 of the family's 2925-position model. The record is from RNAcentral. Lineage: Bacteria; Bacillati; Bacillota; Bacilli; Caryophanales; Staphylococcaceae.